AUUGAACGCUGGCGGCAGGCCUAACACAUGCAAGUCGAACGGUAGCACAGAGAGCUUGCUCUUGGGUGACGAGCGGCGGACGGGUGAGUAAUGUCUGGGAAACUGCCCGAUGGAGGGGGAUAACUACUGGAAACGGUAGCUAAUACCGCAUAACGUCUUCGGACCAAAGUGGGGGACCUUCGGGCCUCACACCAUCGGAUGUGCCCAGAUGGGAUUAGCUAGUAGGUGGGGUAAUGGCUCACCUAGGCGACGAUCCCUAGCUGGUCUGAGAGGAUGACCAGCCACACUGGAACUGAGACACGGGCCAGACUCCUACGGGAGGCAGCAGUGGGGAAUAUUGCACAAUGGGCGCAAGCCUGAUGCAGCCAUGCCGCGUGUAUGAAGAAGGCCUUCGGGUUGUAAAGUACUUUCAGCGGGGAGGAAGGCGAUGGAGUUAAUAGCUUCAUCGAUUGACGUUACCCGCAGAAGAAGCACCGGCUAACUCCGUGCCAGCCGCCGCCGUAA
This 504-nucleotide ribosomal RNA is filed under the name uncultured bacterium. Its description in RNAcentral is "partial 16S ribosomal RNA". It matches the Rfam family "Bacterial small subunit ribosomal RNA", at positions 30 to 523 of the family's 1533-position model. The record is from RNAcentral.